RNAcentral lists this ribosomal RNA (1449 nucleotides) under uncultured organism. RNAcentral describes it as "SSU rRNA". It matches the Rfam family "Bacterial small subunit ribosomal RNA". The record is from RNAcentral.
UGGCUCAGAUUGAACGCUGGCGGCAUGCCUUACACAUGCAAGUCGAACGGUAACAGGUCUUCGGACGCUGACGAGUGGGGAACGGGUGAGUAAUACAUCUGAACGUGCCCAGUCGUGGGGGAUAACUACUCGAAAGAGUAGCUAAUACCGCAUACAAUCUGAGGAUGAAAGCGGGGGACCUUCUGGCCUCUCGCGAUUGGAGCGGCCGAUGGGAGAUUAUGUAUUUGGUGGGAUAAAAGCUUACCAAGCCGACAAUCUGUAUCUGGUCUGAGAGGACAACCACCCACACUGGGACUGAGACACGGCCCACACUCCUACGGGAGGCAGCAGUGGGGAAUUUUGUACAAUGGGCGAAAGCCUGAUCCACCAAUGCCGCGUGCGUGAUGAAAGCCUUCUGGUUGCAAACUGCUUUUGUACGGAACGAAAAAGCUUCUCCUAAUACAAGAGGGCCAUGACAGUACCGUAAGGAUAAGCACCGGCUAUCUACAUGCCACCAGCCGCGGUAAUACGUAUGGUGCGAGCGUUAAUCUCAAUUACUGUGCGUAAAGCGUGCGCACGCGGUUAUGUAAGACAGAUGUGAAAUCUCCGGGCUCUUCCCGGGAACUGUGUUUGUGACUGUGUGGCUAUAGUACAGUAGAGAGGGAUGGAAUUCCGCGUGUAGCAGUGAAAUGCGUAUAUAUGCGGAGGAACACCGAUGGCGAAAGCGAUCCCCUGUACCCGUACUGACGCUCAUGCGCGAAAGCGUGUGGAGCAAACAGGAUUAGAUAUCCUGUUGGUCUCCGCCCUAUACGAUGUCAACUGGUUGUUGGGAAUUAUUUUUCUCAGUAACGAAGGUAACGCGCGAAGUUGACCGCCCGGGGAGUACGGCCGCAAGGUUGAAACUCAAAGGAAUGGACGGGGGCCCGCACAAGCGGUGGAUGAUGUGGUUUAAUUAGAUGCAACGCGAAAAACCUUCCCCACCUUUGACAUGGCAGGAAGUUUCCAGAGAGGGAUUCGUGCUCGAAAGAGAACCUGCACACAGGCGGUGCAUGGCUGUCGUCAGUUAGUGUCGUGAGAUGUUGGGUUAAGUCCCGCAACGAGCGCAACCCUUGUCAUUAGUUGGUACAUUCAGUUGGGCACUCUAAUGAGACUGCCGGUGACAAACCGGAGGAAGGUGGGGAUGACGUCAAGUCCUCAUGGCCCUUAUAGGUGGGGCUACACACGUCAUACAAUGGUUGGUACAGAGGGUUGCCAACCCGCGAGGGGGAGCUAAUCCCAUAAAACCAGUCGUAGUCCGGAUCGCAGUCUGCAACUCGAGUGCGUGAAGUCGGAAUCGCUAGUAAUCGCGGAUCAGCAUGCCGCGGUGAAUACGUUCCCGGGUCUUGUACACACCGCCCGUCACACCAUGGGAGCGGGUCUCGCCAGAAGUAGGUAGCCUAACCGCAAGGAGGGCGCUCACCACGGCGGGGU